UACGUAGGGAGCAAGCGUUGUCCGGAUUUACUGGUGUAAAGGGAGCGUAGACGGUUGUGCAAGUCUGAUGUGAAAACCCGGGGCUCAACUCCGGGAUUGCAUUGGAAACUGUAUAACUAGAGUGCAGGAGAGGUAAGUGGAAUUCCUAGUGUAGCGGUGAAAUGCGUAGAUAUUAGGAGGAACACCGGCGGCGAAGGCGGCUUACUGGACUUUAACUGACGUUGAGGCUCGAAGGCGUGGGGAGCAAACA
Molecule: ribosomal RNA, 250 nt
Filed under: uncultured prokaryote
Description: partial 16S ribosomal RNA
Rfam family: Bacterial small subunit ribosomal RNA
Source: RNAcentral